ACGCGAUGAGGUAUCCGAUGCAUUGCGGCCCGACGCUUUCACGGCCGUCGGAUCGUCAUCGCACGCCGCGGGAGCAGACAUCGGGAGGUGGGGGAGAGGGAGGGGCGUACGUACGGAGGGGUCGGUGCGUGGCGAUGCGUAGACCGGGGAUGCCUGGGUCAGAAGACGUCGGGGUGGAAGCGGCCGGGGAUGGAGCUGCUCUGCUGGGCCUGCUUCAGGUGCAACGACAGCGCGUAGUUGUUGACCUGCUCCGAGGAGACGACGGCGGAUGAGAGAGACGCAUCGCAUUCAAGAGAGAGAGAGACACAGAGAGAGAGAGAGAGAGUAGUGUCGGUUGGUUUUUCUACCUCGAGGGUGCGGAGCUGCUCCUGGUACUGGGCGAGGAGCUGCUUGAGGUGGUGGAGCUCCUGGGUCUUCUCGUCAAACUCCUUCUGCCGCUCGUGCUGGAUCGCCACCGCCCUCUUCAGUAUCUCGUUGUCCCUCAGCAACCCCUCCAGCUGCUCCUUCA
Molecule: long non-coding RNA, 508 nt
Filed under: Spirodela polyrhiza (greater duckweed)
Lineage: Eukaryota; Viridiplantae; Streptophyta; Magnoliopsida; Alismatales; Araceae
Description: long non-coding RNA (SPOL_LNC001977)
Source: RNAcentral